GAUCAUGGCUCAGGACGAACGCUGGCGGCGUGCCUAAUACAUGCAAGUAGAACGCUGAAGGAGGAGCUUGCUUCUCUGGAUGAGUUGCGAACGGGUGAGUAACGCGUAGGUAACCUGCCUGGUAGCGGGGGGAUAACUAUUGGAAACGAUAGCUAAUACCGCAUAACAGCAGUUGUUGCAUGACAACUGUUUAAAAGGUUAGGCAAUUAGUCAUCACUACCACGAUGGACCGU
This 233-nucleotide ribosomal RNA is filed under the name uncultured bacterium. RNAcentral's name for it is "partial 16S ribosomal RNA". It matches the Rfam family "Bacterial small subunit ribosomal RNA", at positions 15 to 233 of the family's 1533-position model. The record is from RNAcentral.